CCGUGGCUCAACUGGAUAGAGCACUGGAUUUCGGUUCCAGUGGUUAUAGGUUCGAAUCCUAUCGGG
Molecule: transfer RNA, 66 nt
Filed under: marine eukaryotic metagenome
Rfam family: tRNA
About the family: Transfer RNA (tRNA) molecules are approximately 80 nucleotides in length. Their secondary structure includes four short double-helical elements and three loops (D, anti-codon, and T loops).
Source: RNAcentral